RNAcentral lists this non-coding RNA (30 nucleotides) under Rattus norvegicus (Norway rat). The record is from RNAcentral. Lineage: Eukaryota; Metazoa; Chordata; Mammalia; Rodentia; Muridae.
UCAAGUUAUACUUCUCUUUGAAAAUGUCUU